UCAUAACAAUAACGACUCUCGGCAACGGAUAUCUAGGCUCUUGCAUCGAUGAAGAACGUAGCGAAAUGCGAUACUUGGUGUGAAUUGCAGAAUCCCGUGAACCAUCGAGUCUUUGAACGCAAGUUGCGCCCGAAGCCUUCUGGCCGAGGGCACGCCUGCUUGGGUGUCACACAUC
RNAcentral lists this ribosomal RNA (175 nucleotides) under Hypericum perforatum. RNAcentral's name for it is "5.8S ribosomal RNA". The stretch from base 14 to 169 matches the Rfam family "5.8S ribosomal RNA". Rfam says of the family: 5.8S ribosomal RNA (5.8S rRNA) is a component of the large subunit of the eukaryotic ribosome. It is transcribed by RNA polymerase I as part of the 45S precursor that also contains 18S and 28S rRNA. The record is from RNAcentral. Lineage: Eukaryota; Viridiplantae; Streptophyta; Magnoliopsida; Malpighiales; Hypericaceae.